This 449-nucleotide ribosomal RNA is filed under the name uncultured bacterium. RNAcentral describes it as "partial 16S ribosomal RNA". It matches the Rfam family "Bacterial small subunit ribosomal RNA", at positions 330 to 795 of the family's 1533-position model. The record is from RNAcentral.
GCCAGACUCCUACGGGAGGCAGCAGUGGGGAAUAUUGGACAAUGGGGGGAACCCUGAUCCAGCGACGCCGCGUGGGUGAAGGAGCGUUUCGGCGCGUAAAGCCCUAUCGGCAGGGAAGAAGGAGGACGGUACCUGACUAAGAAGCCCCGGCUAACUACGUGCCAGCAGCCGCGGUAAUACGUAGGGGGCAAGCGUUAUCCGGAUUUACUGGGUGUAAAGGGGGCGCAGACGGCAGCGCAAGCCAGGAGUGAAAGCCCGGGGCCCAACCCCGGGACUGCUCUUGGAACUGCGCGGCUGGAGUGCAGGAGGGGCAGGCGGAAUUCCUGGUGUAGCAGUGAAAUGCGUAGAUAUCAGGAGGAACACCGGUGGCGAAGGCGGCCUGCUGGACUGCGACUGACGUUGAGGCCCGAAAGCGUGGGGAGCAAACAGGAUUAGAUACCCGCGUAAUU